This is a non-coding RNA of Thamnophis sirtalis, 3306 nucleotides long. The record is from RefSeq and is a predicted model, not a curated record. Lineage: Eukaryota; Metazoa; Chordata; Lepidosauria; Squamata; Natricidae.
GGCACAUGGCAAUUAUCAUGAAAUGUUAAUUUCUAAAUUUCAAUAGGUCAAAGGAAUAUGGAUCUGUGGGGGACAUUACCCAUUCAGAGAAUUCAAGUUACUGUUAACAACUUAUGGAAGCUUCAUGGAUCUGACAUGGUGCAGUCUGAAAAUGGUGGAUUUUUUUUUCACCAUAUAGAAGUGUUCAGACCGGUUGUUCUUUCCGAUACAACUUUCACAAGCUUCAGGGCUAAGACUGCUGUUACUCACCCCUUGCUUUGGCAUAAAAAGCUCGCUGAGGGUAUCUUAUUGCGGGUUUGCCUUAAGGUAGAUUAGAUUAAUUAUUACUAUGUAAUGCAAGUAAAAGCAAAUAAAGCUUAGGAUUAGUGCUGCCUUUAGAAAUUUGUGAAAAAUAAAUAAAUGCUUGUCAAUCUUAAUGGAAUGUGGUAAGUUUUUCUCAUAUCAGUGAGAAUGAAAGAACUAUUUACCCUAUGAGAGGGGUAUUUAUAUUGGGAUAAGCACACAGACUUAAAUAUAGAAAGAAGGUAUCUCAAACUGAGAGAAGCUGAAAUUUUCAUGGAAGACUCGAAGUCGUGCUAAAGCAGCAAAAUUUGCUUGAAAACAAAGCCUUAUGUAAUCACUUGAACUUCAGUGCCUUUUCUGUAUUGUUAUUAAUGCUAAUCAUUCAUCAUAGCUCAAAGUAUUAAACAGUUUGCUUUACAAAAUAUUAACUUCACAUAUUGGUAAAGGAGGAGAAAAUGAGUAAAUAAGGUUAUCUAUGCAUUAUUACCAAGCCAUACAGAAUUGUUUUUCAAGUGGCGUUAGAAGUACCGUAACUGUUAAAACAACCAAGUUUGGAAGUGUACUUUGGUUCAUAAUUGUUCCAUAAUUUGUAUAACAUGUUUCAUUUAACAAUUUGAAGUGUGAAUCACAGUAAGCAUACACAUAUGUCUAUGUAUGCUCCGUUUAACAUGUAAAUUAUUGUUAGAAUAUUUUUAUUGGUUGUUGCCCUUUUAGUGCCUUAUUCUGAGAAUUCUUUUACUGCCAUGUCAAAUGAGUUUAGAAAUUUCAAAUACCUAUUGCUGUGUGUCAGUAGUUUUAUUGAUUGAAGUAUUGUAGGAUCUAGUUCCAUUUUCAGUUGUACAAUCUUGAAAAAAACUGUUGGUUACCACAAGAUAAUUUAAUCAUAAUAAAAAUAGUAAUAAUUUUUUUACCGUGAAAACAAUUUAAAUCUCUGCAACAUGUUAAAAUUCCAGGUAAUACAGGAAUUGAAUACUUUUUAAAUUCUUGUCUUGUAGCAGGAAUAUUAUUAUGGUAUUAACCGUAUGAUUUAUUUUAUUUUUUAACCAAAUACCUCUUUAGUAAUUUAUAAUGGCUUUGCAGUUAUGUAUUAAAUAAGAAGCACUGGAAAAAUGAUUCGUCUCAAUGGCGAUUUGCAUGUUUCAAGUGGUGUUGAAAGCCUUAGCAAUAGAUAUGUAAUAAGCAUAUCUGUUAAUACAGCAGUAAUGACUUGUGCUCAUUUAAUACAAAAUAAAACUAAUUUAUGAAAUAAUUAUUUUGAAAAUGACUGUGGUAUUUUUCUCCAGAAUACAGUUUCUAGGAAGUUUUAUUGUACUUUACAGGCCAACUGUUAGCAUAUUUAAAUCUGAUGCAACUUGAUAAUUUUUUAAAAAAUAAAUUUUUAUAAUGUCAUACUACAUUUUAAUACAGGGUAAAUUAGUAGAAAUCGCAUAGGAUAUUAAAGAACUUGUUUUGAUAAUUAAAUUGUUAAAUCCAUUUACUAGCACAUGAUUUCCCUCAGAAGCCUUAUACCAGGUACACAGCUCUUACAAUAUUAUAUUUCCAUGAAUUUUAAUUUAUGCAUAAACCAUAAUUGUUAAUAGAAAUAUGUUACAUUUAUUUCUGCACUCUGGAAAUCAGUGAUUUUGCUUUGUUACUAUAUACAAAUAAUAUGGACUCUAGCAAAGCUUAGGUGAGUAAUAGAAUUGAAAGAAGAUUGACAAUGCUGAAAAGUUAAAAGAGGUUAGGAAGUUAAAGUGUAGUUAAAGAAGGCCAGAGGAGUUUGAUUUUGUCAAAGUGGUCUGAGAAAAGAGGACAGAGUGUUUGAGAUAGGAAGGCAAAAGACUGUGGGAUGACUGACAUGUAGUAUGAGAAAGCAAGUGGAAAGAAGGGACAGAGGAGGAUUCAUGUGCUUGAGAUAGUAUAAAGCCAAAGAGAUGGGAAUAACAGGCAAGAAAUUCAAAGUUUUGUUAACCGAUUCAGAGCUUAGAAAAGGGUCCAUAGAGUGGUUAGACAGACUAAUAAGUCUAUAGUGAAAAAGAAAGUUACUUUGAGAGGAAACUGAGAAGAUAAGCAAGGAUAUGGUUACUGAUUUUUAUUGUUUCUUGGUUAAAACCAGUGGAGUGCAAAGAUAUGGAAUUUGAAAUAUUUUGAGCUUGAAAUGUUCUACAAUACUCAAAAUUGAAAACAGCUGCAGAAAACGGUUGUAGAAGAGUUCUAAUCUCUAAAUGUUUCCAUUUUGAGUUGGAAACUUUUUGCUAGAAUAAUGGCUGAAUGCUUAUAAGGUUCAGAACAACCCAUUUCAAUCUUGAAUUGUUUUAUAUUCUUCUAAUUAAAAUUAAUUAUUCUUUAAAAUUAAGGAUUUUUAAAAAGAAAAAUGACAACUCUUUCCAUGAAGAAAAAAAUAGAAUAAGUUUGAUUUUUUUAAAAAUAAAAAGGUAUAAAUAUUACCUGUAAAUGUGCAAUUUUCAAUGUUCUUACCACUAUUAACAAUUUCAGUAAAUGGGAUGAGUGAUGCCUAACAGGAAGACAGAAAUAAUCUAAACCAUGCCCAAAUAGUAGCUUAAUAACACCAGAACUGACAUAGAAUUAUAUAUUAUAGGGAGAGGUAUAUUGAUGCAGAAUAAUACUAGCCCAUCUAUGAAAUGUUGCCAUGCAUUCUGGAGAAUUAUGCCUAAGCCCAAAAUUUAGGUUACUCGAUUUGUUUAAUCUCCAGGGGCUAUUUUAUAAUGUUGAAGAAUUCAUUCCUGUGACGUGUAAUUGUAAACAUCUAAUCAUGCCUGGUUGUGAAUUUGGUGUCAGGCCCCUCCCUGCAGUGUCAGUAAAAUAUGUGUUUUAAUGCAACAAUUUCAACUAUAUAAUGUAUUAGAUUGUGUUUUUAUUACUGUUAAAUUUUUAUUUUGAUGGUUUGUUCUUUGGUAUUCCUCAACCCAUAUGUAUAUAUUUGCCACUUUAUAAAUCCAUUUCAUGAAUCAUUUGGAGUAGCUGUUGCCUGUAAAACAUUAUGCUGCAAUAAAAUAAACCAAUGAAUCUUUGAAUUGCCAAAAA